This 375-nucleotide ribosomal RNA is filed under the name uncultured bacterium. RNAcentral's name for it is "bacterial SSU rRNA". It matches the Rfam family "Bacterial small subunit ribosomal RNA", at positions 331 to 723 of the family's 1533-position model. The record is from RNAcentral.
CCAGACUCCUACGGGAGGCAGCAGUGGGGAAUAUUGCACAAUGGGGGAAACCCUGAUGCAGCGACGCCGCGUGGAGGAAGAAGGUCUUCGGAUUGUAAACUCCUGUUGUUGAGGAAGAUAAUGACGGUACUCAACAAGGAAGUGACGGCUAACUACGUGCCAGCAGCCGCGGUAAAACGUAGGUCACAAGCGUUGUCCGGAAUUACUGGGUGUAAAGGGAGCGCAGGCGGGAAGACAAGUUGGAAGUGAAAUCCAUGGGCUCAACCCAUGAACUGCUUUCAAAACUGUUUUUCUUGAGUAGUGCAGAGGUAGGCGGAAUUCCCGGUGUAGCGGUGGAAUGCGUAGAUAUCGGGAGGAACACCAGUGGCGAAGGCG